Molecule: ribosomal RNA, 468 nt
Filed under: uncultured bacterium
Lineage: Bacteria
Description: partial 16S ribosomal RNA
Rfam family: Bacterial small subunit ribosomal RNA
Source: RNAcentral
GACGAACGCUGGCGGCGUGCUUAACACAUGCAAGUCGAACGGAAAGGCCCUGCUUUUGUGGGGUGCUCGAGUGGCGAACGGGUGAGUAACACGUGAGUAACCUGCCCUUGACUUUGGGAUAACUUCAGGAAACUGGGGCUAAUACCGGAUAGGAGCUCCUGCUGCAUGGUGGGGGUUGGAAAGUUUCGGCGGUUGGGGAUGGACUCGCGGCUUAUCAGCUUGUUGGUGGGGUAGUGGCUUACCAAGGCUUUGACGGGUAGCCGGCCUGAGAGGGUGACCGGCCACAUUGGGACUGAGAUACGGCCCAGACGCCUACGGGAGGCAGCAGGGGGGAAUAUUGCACAAUGGGCGGAAGCCUGAUGCAGCAACGCCGCGUUCGUGAUGACGGCCUUCGGGUUGUAAACCGCUUUCGCCUGUGACGAAGCGUGAGUGACGGUAAUGGGUAAAGAAGCACCGGCUAACUACGUG